CCCUCAGUUGUUCACCGAGUUUGUAAGCUGCUUCCUGUUGUUUUUCUCCCUUUGUCUCUGAGUCUUUUAAGGUCCCUGCAUUGUAAGGCCCGCCCUUUAUACCAGCAGGUGACUCACAGCAGGUGGGAUUCCCCUCCCUGCAUCAUCCCCCUCUGUGGGGAGCCCAGGUAUGCAGCCUCAGUUCCAGGGGAAAUGAGUAGUGUGGUUGCUGUGGCUAGAGGCCUGGGAUGGGACACAGCGGGGAUGGGGUGGGAGGGGUAAGGGAGAACAAAUAUUUAAAUUAAUCUGGUCUCAAGUUCCUUCCUGUUUGAUCUUUCCCUGAUCUUUUUGCCUCUCAAAGCUAUACCCCUACCCCACCCCAAACCUAAUUUCCUCACUUCCUCCUGCUUGAGGAAAAAGCAAAACAGAGAAACAUCCAUUCAUCUCCCAAUAGGAUGGUGAGCUGUUUGCAAUGAAGUUUGAUUCCUACCUGAUGCCCCCUAUUAGGAAUAAACGGGCUUCUUUUUCUCAGUUGGAAACAACAUUAUUUCAACUGGAUGGUCUUAUUGCUCCCCAUUUCAGGCCUCACAGUGGAGGUUAGAAAGGCUCUUGUGGGAAGAGGGUUAUUGACUAAGAACCACCUGACUCCUCAACCCUAGUGGCCCAAGAUUUCAUAGGCUCUAUAAGAGUUGGAUGAUGUUUUUUUCAGGACUAGUGCAAAUAAGG
Molecule: long non-coding RNA, 705 nt
Filed under: Homo sapiens (human)
Lineage: Eukaryota; Metazoa; Chordata; Mammalia; Primates; Hominidae
Description: HSALNT0189846
Source: RNAcentral